GCAUAGGGAGCACUCGUAUCUUCUUCGAAGAGACCGGAGAAAAGGUAGGCCUCAGGGUUGGGGUUUUUGUGUGUUAUUCCAGGCAUUGCCAGUUGGGGGAAUAUGAAAGCAGGGAGGGUCCAAUGGAUCAAUCGACUCCGGGCAGUUGAUGUGAGAGGGAGCACAUUGCAAAGCCGACUGGACACUGCAAUGCACAAAGAAAGGCCGUUUCCGUUGAUUUGUUUGAGGAGAGGAGGAUGUAUCUUGAAAAUGACAUUCUUCUCCAUGGUGCAAUGAGCACAGAAUAUGAUGAAAUGAUGUAUACCUAAUACUACAUACCUAGCUUCUUGCCGGCGAGCAACAACUUGCCCAGGUUGCAAGCAUUUAGGACGUAACAACUGAC
This 382-nucleotide small RNA is filed under the name Histoplasma capsulatum. RNAcentral's name for it is "hypothetical RNA". Lineage: Eukaryota; Fungi; Ascomycota; Eurotiomycetes; Onygenales; Ajellomycetaceae. RNAcentral also lists the same sequence under 1 other name. The record is from RNAcentral.